UACAGUGUUGUUAUCGUUUCAGGCUGAAAAAAUUUGUGGCAUGGCUAUGGAGUUCGUCGCGUGUCCUGAGGCGUGCAAGGCGCGGCUGGCGUGCGGCCACGCGUGCACUCGCACAUGCCAUGUUAAAAGCGAUCCUGACCAUGAAAUGUACACAUGUGAAAAACCAUGCCGAAAACUUAAAAAAGAUUGCUCAUUUACCGCAGAAGAAAAUAAUGAGGACCAUCUGUGUAAAAAAAAAUGUUAUGAAACGUGUGAUGUUUGCAAAGUGGAGGUAAUGAAAAAGAGACAAAAUUGCAUCCACUCUCAAAAAGUUCCGUGCCAUGUUGAUGUUAACACUAUUUUGUGUCGCAAAAACUGUGCUCGCUUAUUGCCGUGUAAUCAUCACUGUAAGAAGAAGUGCCACGAGCCUUGUGGGGAUUGUGUGAUGCUAGUAGUCAAGAAGAUUCCGGACUGUAAUCACAAAGUAAAGGUGCCAUGCAAUAAGUUCCUUGAUUCCAGCAUGUGCAAAGCAGAAUGCCAACGCGUAAUGUCGUGCGGGCACCCGUGCCAAAGUCUCUGCGGCGAGCCCUGUGACCCAGAAAAUUGCAACCAUUUGAUGAAUUAUGCAGACUAUUCUCCUUGUGGUCAUAAAAUAGCUCUGCCGUGUAAGAUUUACCAGGCAAUACGCUCUGGCGAUAAAGUUGAUUUGCGUGUCUUGCUGAAGCACUGUAAAGCGGCGUGCAAGGCGCGGCUCGAGUGCGGGCACGAGUGCGCGGGCACGUGCGCGGCAUGCUGGCAAGGCCGCCUGCACGCACCCUGCCAGCAGCGCUGCGACAAGCUCAGCAUCUGCGGACACGUGUACGGGACGCACACUACUCACUGCUGCACACGAGCACGUGCGCGGCGUGCUGGCAGGGCUGCCCGCACGCGCCCUGCCAGCAGCGCUGCGACAAGCUCAGCAUCUGCGGACACGUGUACGGGACGCACACUACUCACUGCUGCACACGAGCACGUGCGCGGCGUGCUGGCAGGGCUGCCCGCACGCGCCCUGCCAGCAGCGCUGCGACAAGCUCAGCAUCUGCGGACACGUAUGCAAGGAGCCGUGUAAUGAAAUAUGUCCACCAUGCGAGAAACUCUGUGAAGUGCGAUGUAAACAUUCGAAUUGUAAUAACAAGUGUGGAAUGCCGUGUACGCCAUGUAAGGAAAAAUGUGACC
This 1194-nucleotide unclassified non-coding RNA is filed under the name Zerene cesonia (dogface butterfly). Its description in RNAcentral is "nFX1-type zinc finger-containing protein 1-like, transcript variant X3". Lineage: Eukaryota; Metazoa; Arthropoda; Insecta; Lepidoptera; Pieridae. The record is from RNAcentral.